RNAcentral lists this ribosomal RNA (468 nucleotides) under uncultured bacterium. Its description in RNAcentral is "partial 16S ribosomal RNA". It matches the Rfam family "Bacterial small subunit ribosomal RNA", at positions 28 to 507 of the family's 1533-position model. The record is from RNAcentral.
GACGAACGCUGGCGGCGUGCUUAACACAUGCAAGUCGAACGGAAAGGCCCUGCUUUUGUGGGGUGCUCGAGUGGCGAACGGGUGAGUAACACGUGAGUAACCUGCCCUUGACUUUGGGAUAACUUCAGGAAACUGGGGCUAAUACCGGAUAGGAGCUCCUGCUGCAUGGUGGGGGUUGGAAAGUUUCGGCGGGUGGGGAUGGACUCGCGGCUUAUCAGCUUGUUGGUGGGGUAGUGGCUUACCAAGGCUUUGACGGGUAGCCGGCCUGAGAGGGUGACCGGCCACAAUGGGACUGAGAUACGGCCCAGACUCCUACGGGAGGCAGCAGUGGGGAAUAUUGCACAAUGGGCGGAAGCCUGAUGCAGCAACGCCGCGUGCGGGAUGACGGCCUUCGGGUUGUAAACCGCUUUCGCCUGUGACGAAGCGUGAGUGACGGUAAUGGGUAAAGAAGCACCGGCUAACUACGUG